This is a long non-coding RNA of Bos taurus (domestic cattle), 978 nucleotides long. Lineage: Eukaryota; Metazoa; Chordata; Mammalia; Artiodactyla; Bovidae. The record is from Ensembl.
GUCCUAGCCAGUCUUAACCAGGUCAGCUUGAACUAGACUCAGCUGACUCCAAGUUCCCGGAAUACAAGUUGGGCAGACUUAUUGUUUAGGUUAUAUGCUGCUUGGAGGACAUGCCAGUUGGUUAUAGCAACAAUUAAAAUGACCCUAAUUAGUGAAGGUUCCCAAGUGAUUCUGAGCCCGCCAGCUCAAACACCACGCUUUGAGCACUAUUGCCCUGGACCAUAAACUUCUUGUACAGAAGGAACUGACCUUUUAUUUCUGGAUGUGCAAUUCCUAGCACGUAGGAGCUAAGCACAUUCACUAACCACUGAACUGUUGAACCCUACCUGACCACGGCACCAAGAUUCCAGGGACCAGAACAGGAAGCCAUUAAUACACAGGUGGCACUGAUGUGGGUGACUGCUUUGGCCGGACUUCUCUUUGUCUGGAUCUGGAAUGUAUUUGAUCUGAGGACUGCUCAAGGCGCUGUGGGACAACAGGCCAUGCCUGUGUCUCUUCCCUUCUACACAUCCAACAUUAGAGUAUCCGGGGAAUUCCCCGGCUGUCGGGUGGGUGGGAUUUGGCACUUUCACUACCAUGGCCUGGGUUCAAUCACUGGUCAGGACAACAGAAUAUUAUUCAGCCUUAAAAAAUAAGGAAAUCCUCUCAUUUGUGACAACAUGACACAAUCUGGAAGACGUAUGCCAUGUGAAGUAAGCCAAACAAAGACAAAUAUAGCAUGAUAUCACUUACAUGAGGGGGAAAAUGUCAAACUCCUAGAAACAGAGAAGAAAAGUGGUUGUUAGAGGCUCUGAGGUGGGGAAAACAGAGGGAGACUGGUUAAAAAAAAAUACAAAUUUUUAGUUAUGAGAAAAAUAAGGUCUGAGGAUCUAAUGUAUAACACAGUAAUUAUGUUUUUAACACUGUAUGUGUAAUUGAAAUUUACUAAAAGAGUAAAACUUAAAUGUUCUCUCCAAAAAAAAGGUAAAUAGGUGAGAU